This 499-nucleotide ribosomal RNA is filed under the name uncultured bacterium. RNAcentral's name for it is "partial 16S ribosomal RNA". It matches the Rfam family "Bacterial small subunit ribosomal RNA", at positions 30 to 523 of the family's 1533-position model. The record is from RNAcentral.
AUUGAACGCUGGCGGCAUGCUUUACACAUGCAAGUCGAACGGUAACAGGGUGCUUGCACCGCUGACGAGUGGCGAACGGGUGAGUAAUGCGUCGGAACGUGCCGAGUAGUGGGGGAUAACGCAGCGAAAGUUGUGCUAAUACCGCAUACGUACUGAGGUAGAAAGUGGGGACCUUCGGGCCUCACGCUAUUCGAGCGGCCGACGUCCGAUUAGCUAGUAGGUGAGGUAAAGGCUCACCUAGGCGACGAUCAGUAGAGGGUCUGAGAGGAUGGUCCGCAACACUGGGACGUGGACACGGGCCAGACUGCUACGGGAGGACGCAGUGGGGAAUUUUGGACAAUGGGCGAAAGGCUGAUCCAGCCAUGCCGCGUGUCUGAAGAAGGCCUUCGGGUUGUAAAGGACUUUUGUCAGGGAGGAAAUCCCUAGUGCUAAUAACACUGGGGGAUGACAGUACCUGAAGAAUAAGCACCAGAUAACUACGUGCCAGCCGCCGCCGUAA